Non-coding RNA from Mycena metata, 90 nucleotides. NCBI's taxonomy places the organism in Eukaryota, Fungi, Basidiomycota, Agaricomycetes, Agaricales, Mycenaceae. The record is from the annotation of a GenBank genome assembly.
GUCUAGGUAGUAUAGUGGUUAGUAUGCUCGCUUGUGGCUGCCUUGUAAUUGUCAUCGCGAUCGACCCUGGUUCGAUUCCGGGCCUGGACA